UACAGAGGUCUCAAGCGUUGUUCGGAUUCAUUGGGCGUAAAGGGUGCGUAGGUGGCGUCGUAAGUCAGGUGUGAAAUCUCGGGGCUCAACCCCGAAACUGCACUUGAUACUGCGAUGCUCGAGUACUGGAGAGGAGAUUGGAAUUUACGGUGUAGCAGUGAAAUGCGUAGAUAUCGUAAGGAAGACCAGUGGCGAAGGCGGAUCUCUGGACAGUUACUGACACUGAGGCACGAAGGCCAGGGGAGCAAACGGG
Molecule: ribosomal RNA, 253 nt
Filed under: uncultured bacterium
Lineage: Bacteria
Description: partial 16S ribosomal RNA
Rfam family: Bacterial small subunit ribosomal RNA
Source: RNAcentral